AUCCGGGUUGCGGACAGUGUCUGGUGGGUAGUUUGACUGGGGCGGUCUCCUCCUAAAGAGUAACGGAGGAGCACGAAGGUUGGCUAAUCCUGGUCGGACAUCAGGAGGUUAGUGCAAUGGCAUAAGCCAGCUUGACUGCGAGCGUGACGGCGCGAGCAGGUGCGAAAGCAGGUCAUAGUGAUCCGGUGGUUCUGAAUGGAAGGGCCAUCGCUCAACGGAUAAAAGGUACUCCGGGGAUAACAGGCUGAUACCGCCCAAGAGUUCAUAUCGACGGCGGUGUUUGGCACCUCGAUGUCGGCUCAUCACAUCCUGGGGCUGAAGUAGGUCCCAAGGGUAUGGCUGUUCGCCAUUUAAAGUGGUACGCGAGCUGGGUUUAGAACGUCGUGAGACAGUUCGGUCCCUAUCUGCCGUGGGCGCUGGAGAACUGAGGGGGGCUGCUCCUAGUACGAGAGGACCGGAGUGGACGCAUCACUGGUGUUCGGGUUGUCAUGCCAAUGGCACUGCCCGGUAGCUAAAUGCGGAAGAGAUAAGUGCUGAAAGCAUCUAAGCACGAAACUUGCCCCGAGAUGAGUUCUCCCUGAGACUUUAGGU
Molecule: ribosomal RNA, 591 nt
Filed under: Salmonella enterica subsp. enterica
Lineage: Bacteria; Pseudomonadati; Pseudomonadota; Gammaproteobacteria; Enterobacterales; Enterobacteriaceae
Description: partial 23S ribosomal RNA
Rfam family: Bacterial large subunit ribosomal RNA
Source: RNAcentral